RNAcentral lists this ribosomal RNA (460 nucleotides) under uncultured bacterium. Its description in RNAcentral is "partial 16S ribosomal RNA". It matches the Rfam family "Bacterial small subunit ribosomal RNA", at positions 338 to 795 of the family's 1533-position model. The record is from RNAcentral.
CCUACGGGAGGCAGCAGUGAGGAAUAUUGGUCAAUGGGCGCGAGCCUGAACCAGCCAAGUAGCGUGAAGGAUGACUGCCCUACGGGUUGUACACUUCUUUUAUCAAGGCAUAAAGUGAGGCACGUGUGCCUUUUUGUAUGUACUUUAUGAAUAAGGAUCGGCUAACUCCUUGCCAGCAGCCGCGUUAAUACGGAGGAUCCGAGCGUUAUCCGGAUUUAUUGGGUUUAAAGGGAGCGUCGAUGGGUUGAUAAGUCAGUUGUGAAAGUUUGCGGCGCAACCGUAAAAUUGCAAUUGAUACUGGCAGGCUUGAGUACAGUUGAGGUAGGCGGAAUUCGUGGUGUAGCGGUGAAAUGCUUAGAUAUCACGAAGAACUCAGAUUGCGAAGGCAGCUUACUAAACUGCCACUGACAUUGAUGCUCGAAAGUGUGGGUAUCAAACAGGAUUAGAUACCCGAGUAGUC